Molecule: ribosomal RNA, 624 nt
Filed under: uncultured bacterium
Lineage: Bacteria
Description: bacterial SSU rRNA
Rfam family: Bacterial small subunit ribosomal RNA
Source: RNAcentral
GAGUUUGAUCCUGGCUCAGGAUGAACGCUGGCGGCGUGCCUAACACAUGCAAGUCGAACGGAGUUACGGUGAAACCUAGUGAUCUGUAACUUAGUGGCGGACGGGUGAGUAACGCGUGGGUAACCUGCCUUGUACUGGGGGAUAACACCUGGAAACAGGUGCUAAUACCGCAUAAGCGCACGGAGCCGCAUGGCUCAGUGUGAAAAACUCCGGUGGUACAAGAUGGACCCGCGUCUGAUUAGCCAGUUGGGGGGGUAACGGCCCACCAAAGCGACGAUCAGUAGCCGGCCUGAGAGGGUGAACGGCCACAUUGGGACUGAGACACGGCCCAAACUCCUACGGGAGGCAGCAGUGGGGAAUAUUGCACAAUGGGGGAAACCCCGAUGCAGCAACGCCGCGUGAGUGAAGAAGUAAUUCGUUAUGUAAAGCUCUAUCAGCAGGGAAGAAAAUGACGGUACCUGAGUAAGCAGCCCCGGCUAACUACGUGCCAGCAGCCGCGGUAAUACGUAGGGGGCAAGCGUUAUCCGGAUUUACUGGGUGUAAAGGGAGCGUAGACGGUUAUGCAAGUCUGAAGUGAAAUGCCAGUGUUCAACACUGGAACUGCUUUGGAAACUGUGUAACUGG